AGCGAACGCUGGCGGUAUGCUUAACACAUGCAAGUCGAGCGCGAAAGUGACUCGGUCAUGAGUAGAGCGGCGGACGGGUGAGUAACACGUGGAUAAUCUGCCUUUAGGACUGGGAUAACCCUGGGAAACUAGGGCUAAUACCGGAUAAGACCACAGGUUCCAUGGGAACCAGGGGUAAAAGGCGGCCUUCGGGCUGUCGCCGAAAGAUGAGUCCGCGUCCCAUCAGGUAGUUGGUGAGGAACGG
This 244-nucleotide ribosomal RNA is filed under the name uncultured bacterium. RNAcentral's name for it is "partial 16S ribosomal RNA". It matches the Rfam family "Bacterial small subunit ribosomal RNA", at positions 29 to 262 of the family's 1533-position model. The record is from RNAcentral.